AUUUCUGUAGUGUAGCGGUUAGCACAUCUGCUUUACAUGCAGAAGGUCCUGAGUUCAUGCCCCAGUAGAGCCA
Molecule: transfer RNA, 73 nt
Filed under: Pteropus alecto (black flying fox)
Lineage: Eukaryota; Metazoa; Chordata; Mammalia; Chiroptera; Pteropodidae
Rfam family: tRNA
About the family: Transfer RNA (tRNA) molecules are approximately 80 nucleotides in length. Their secondary structure includes four short double-helical elements and three loops (D, anti-codon, and T loops).
Source: Rfam by way of RNAcentral